Molecule: ribosomal RNA, 408 nt
Filed under: uncultured bacterium
Lineage: Bacteria
Description: partial 16S ribosomal RNA
Rfam family: Bacterial small subunit ribosomal RNA
Source: RNAcentral
GACGAACGCUGGCGGCAUGCUUAACACAUGCAAGUCGAACGAAGUGGCGAACGGGUGAGUAAUACGUAGGUAACCUGCCCUCCUUUUUUGGAUAAGCUAUGGAAACGGUGACUAAUACCGAAAAAAGGGGGAUGGGCUCGCGGCCUAUCAGCUUGUUGGCGGGGUGAUGGCCAACCAAGGGGGUGACGGGUAGCCGGCCUGAGAGGCUGACCGGCCAAAUUGGGACGGAGGUGCGGCCCAGGCUCCGAAGGGAGGCGGCAGUGGGGGAUAUUGCACAAUGGGCGAAAGCCUGAUGCAGCGACUCCGCGUGGGGGCUGAAGGCUUUCGGGUUGUAAACCUCUAUCGCUAUCGAAGGGGUAGGUGGAGAAGAGGCGCCAGCUGAAAACGUGCCAGCAGCCGCGGUAAUAC